CGGUCAUUACCAAGGCUUUUAGAAUGCAGUGUCUCAUUGCUGUGGACGUGACCACAGAACUUGUUCCCACAAGGUUUUCUGCUGCUACGCUGCUUGUGUUCAGCCUGUUGGGAAUAUUU
Small nucleolar RNA from Phyllostomus discolor (pale spear-nosed bat), 119 nucleotides. RefSeq annotates it as small nucleolar RNA SNORA32. The record is from RefSeq and is a predicted model, not a curated record. The transcript has a single exon. Lineage: Eukaryota; Metazoa; Chordata; Mammalia; Chiroptera; Phyllostomidae.